RNAcentral lists this ribosomal RNA (395 nucleotides) under uncultured bacterium. RNAcentral's name for it is "partial 16S ribosomal RNA". It matches the Rfam family "Bacterial small subunit ribosomal RNA", at positions 523 to 918 of the family's 1533-position model. The record is from RNAcentral.
AUACGUAGGGUGCAAGCGUUAAUCGGCAUUACUGGGCGUAAAGCGUGCGCAGGCGGUUUUGUAAGACAGAGGUGACAUCCCCGGGCGCAACCUGGGACCUGCCUUUGUGGCUGCAAGGCCAGAGGACGGCAGAGGGGGCUGGCAUUCCGCGUGUAUCAGUGGAAUGCGUAGAUAUGCGGAGGAACACCGAUGGCGAAGGCAAUCCCCUGGGCCUGUACUGACGCUCAUGCACGAAAGCGUGGGGAGCAAACAGGAUUAGAUACCCUGGUAGUCCACGCCCUAAACGAUGUCAACUGGUUGUUGGGUCUUCAUUGACUCAGUAACGAAGCUAACGCGUGAAGUUGACCGCCUGGGGAGUACGGCCGCAAGGUUGAAACUCAAAUGAAUUGACGGGG